CUGUAGCUGCUGACGUUGUAGUGGUUGGGGACAUAUUUGUUGUCGUAAAAGCUACAGUUGUUGUUGUAGGUGCUGCUGUUGUGGUUGUCGUUGUAGGUGCUGCUGUUGUAGUGGUCGUAGUAUCUAAAGUUGUAGUAGGAGUAUCAGUUGCGGUUGUCGUAAGAGCUGCGUUUGUAGUGGUCGUAGUGGGUGCUUCUGUUGUAAUGGUCGUGGGAUCUAAAGUUGUAGUAGGAGCUGCAGUUGUGGUUGUCGUAGGAGCUGCAUUUGUAGUUGUUGUAGUAGGAGCUGCAGAUGUGGUUGUCGUAGGAGCUGCAUUUGUAGUUGUUGUAGUAGGUGCUGCUGUUGUAGUGGUUGUAGGAGCUACAGAUGUUGUAGUUGGAGCUGCAGUUGUGGUUGUCGUAGGAGCUUCAGUUGUCGUUGUUGUAGGAACUGCUGAUGUAGUUGUUGUAAGAGCUGCAGUGGUUGUUGAAGUAGGUGCUGCAGUUGUAGUGGUCAUAGGAGCUACAGAUGAUGUCGUAGGAGCUUCAGUUGUGGUUGUCGUAGUAGCUGCAUUUGUAUUUGUUGUAGUAGAUGCUGCUGUUGUGGUCGUAGGAGCUACAGAUGUUGUAGUUAGAGCUGCCGUUGUGGUU
Molecule: long non-coding RNA, 629 nt
Filed under: Salmo salar (Atlantic salmon)
Lineage: Eukaryota; Metazoa; Chordata; Actinopteri; Salmoniformes; Salmonidae
Description: lncRNA (ENSSSAG00000097730.1)
Source: RNAcentral